Molecule: long non-coding RNA, 476 nt
Organism: Macrosteles quadrilineatus (aster leafhopper)
Lineage: Eukaryota; Metazoa; Arthropoda; Insecta; Hemiptera; Cicadellidae
Exons: 3
Source: RefSeq, a predicted model, not a curated record
CCUUCGCUGGCAAGAAAGUAUAUUUUAGAAAACUUGCGAUUGUAUAAAAGGAUUUUAAGGUAUGAAUCCAUAUUGUUGGAGGAAGUUUUAGGACCGUUGAAGAAUAUAACUUCUAAAGUCACAGCAGCAGCUCUAAGAGACUACUUGGAUGAUCAGGGUGUGAUAUACAGAACAAGGUCAACAAAACAAAACCAAGAGCAAAAACAAAGGAAAAAAAGAGCAAGGUACAAAAGACGUUCCAAAUUGGGUUCCAAUUCAACAGUUAGAAGAAGAAAAAGGACAAGGAGAAAGAAACAAACAAAAAAAACAAAGGAAACCAUAAUGUAUUUCUUGACUACAGUGAACACGCUGUGAGGGUUCACUAGUGUGUUGGUAGACCUGCGUAGAUGUGCGAGACCGGAAACUACUCGUAAAUCAGUGAUGCCAACAUUCACCACACAUGGAGCAGCUGUUAGAACAUGGUGUUGUCCUACAAU